AUGUCAUGAUAAGGGUACUUCCGAAGGACGUCUCUGAAUCCUUCCCAAGCCUCAUGAAAAGGCUCACCAGGCUCUUGAGCAAAACGAGUAAUAGCAUCUCGAUAU
This is a small nucleolar RNA of Cornus florida, 105 nucleotides long. The record is from RefSeq and is a predicted model, not a curated record. Lineage: Eukaryota; Viridiplantae; Streptophyta; Magnoliopsida; Cornales; Cornaceae.